GGACAUGGCAUGGAACGUGUGUGCGGAAAAGUUCGAACAUCAAGUGACCCUUGAAGCGCUACAACACUUAAAUGCACUCUUUCAGGAGUAUGAGAAAAGAGGAAGACAGCUGUUGGAUAUGGAGACUUUCAAAUGCAUAAUGAAGCAGAGCAUGAGGUUACAGAAUAAAAGUACUGAACAAAUAGAACAACUUUUCAUGAAAAUAGACUAUGAAGCAGUGGGCAGAAUUCAUUGGGAUGGCUUCUGCACAUAUCUGCAGUUAGCAUAUUUGGAGCAAGCUGAUGCUUUGGCUCGACAGAAAGAGGUUUCCUUCCAGCUGCCUGCUGUGCUGCAGGGACUGUCGUACGGGGGACCCGUGCUGCGCAUUCUCUCUGUGCCUGAUGACACCUUAAUCAUGAUCAGAGAAGAUGGAGCCAUUUAUUUCUGGUCCCUGCAGCUGAAGUUGAAAAGAAGAAAGCGAGUUUUUGACAAGCCCAUCAUUCGGAAGCGCCGGUGGGUGACGGAUGCCACCAGCAUGCCACAGUACAACAAACUGAUCCUAGGAACUGGAAACCGCGAAAUCCAGCUGUAUGAGUUCUCUAACUUGGAGCCUUACUGUCAGAUUGGUGGCCUGGAAGCUGUCCCUCUGAAACUGGACUACUGGUACGAGGAUCCUGACAAGUGCCUGAUUAUCUAUGGUGAUGACCAGGGAUGUGUGAACAUUCUGUUUUUGGCUUCUGUCGGUGAACUAUUAAGGGGACGUCACACCCCAGGUCCCUCUCAUGGGGGAGGUCACAUUCCAGAUCCCUUUCAGAGGAAGUCACAUACCACACCUCCCAUCCUCAGGGAAGAAGUCACUCCAGGUCAAGUGUGCUGUUACUCUUGGUGGCUGAGGGUCCCCAGGAGGCAGCCGUCUCAGUCCUAUCACAGUGAUACUCUGGAGCCAGAAGCAUGGAGAACUUGGAAGAAGCUGCCCAAAGUUGAGAACAUGCCAAACAUUAGCAUUAAUAAUGCUGUGAAUUCUCCAAAUGUGAAUUACAUCCGCUGGAAAGUGCACGGAGACUGGGUUACUCAGCUGAACUACUACGAUUCUAUCAACGCCGUUAUCUCAAGCUCCAAUCAUGAGCCCACUGCUCUAGUCAUAGGAAUCUUACAGCAGCCCUGUCCACCUCUGAUUCGCAGCCUUCAAACCACAUUGUCUUUCAAGGAAAGCUUCCUUGGUAAAUUUCUGAUUCACUGACAUUGAAAUCACUGAAGUGUUGGAAAGAGAUGUGCUCUGGGUAAGAAGUCGCUUGGGAAUUUUCAUUAGACUUUCUUGGAACUAAGAAGUGGUCGUUUUCUAGAACCGUGAUGGAUAUGAAUCUUAAGAAACUGAAAGCCAGCCUCCAGAAGCAGCUCAAAACUCAGUGUUUGUUAUGACAGAACAAAAAUCAGCGAGCCCAGAAGAAGGAUCUCCAGGCUCUAGCCCUGGCUCUGCUGCUCAUAGAGCUGUGACCUCAGGCCUCAGCCCCCUCUCCAGUUCAGUGAGGAAGUUGGACAUGAGCCCAAAGUCACAGAUCUUCCUUUUGCUCUAAGCCCCUGUCCCUCCCUUCCUUCACCUCACAUCAUGGGAAGCAGAGGCCGCUACAGCUCUGAACCCCUGUUAGUGUGUCUAGAAACCUAGAUAGCUCGACUAUAGAAUUCCUCCACCCCGGCCCCUCGCAACAUCGUUGAAGUUUCUGUUUCUCUCCGGAAGGAGAAUGGGGAGGAGCCCUUAGAGCAGAACUCCUGGAAAGACUUGCCCUUUCUUACGCCUGUCCUCCAAGUUGGUCUAAGACCCACUCCAACCCAGCUGUGUCCCUCCACGCCAUUAAAGUCACUCUUGUAAGGGCCACCAGUGCCCCUCCUGCUGCUGAAAUCAGUGACCGGUCCUCGUCCCACUUGCCCUCUCAACACGAGCCGCAGGUCCCUUGGCUUCCUCCCUGCAGUCCUCUCACUUGGCGUGAGGACUCCACCUCUCAUGGUUUCCCGUCCUUCCUGCCUGUAGCCCCUUCUCGUUCUCCCUUACUGGUCGUCUGCAUCGCCAUGACUCGUGUCUAUGACGCAGUGACGGAGCCCCCAGCAUUCAGUCUUUGGUCCUCUUCUCUUCCACAUCUGCACCCCCGCGAUGAGCGCUCCGCUACCACUGCUGUCAAUUCCCAAAAGUACAUCUCUGGCCCAGCCCCCUCCCUGAACUUCUCUCUGGUAUUUCCAGCUGCCUUGGAUCUAUCUCCCAAGGGCACCUCCACUUGGGUAGCUCAUGAGCAUCGAAAUUAAACCCAAACCUGAAUCCAGAUCUUCUUCCUCCCACCGUCUUCCCCAUCUCAUUUGGCUCGAAGUCCAUUCUUCCAGUUGCUCUGGCCAAAGUCUGAUGGUCACCCUUGACUCCUCUCUCACAACCCAUCUAACUUGCUGGCCCUACCUUCAUAACACACCCAGACUCUGGCUGCUGCUCCCCAGCCCCACUGCUACCCUCUAGUGAGAAUCACCACCCUCUCUUCCCUGGGUUCCUGAAACAGCCUCGCUCCUCUCCCUGCCUCCAUCCUGCCCUGUCGUCUCUUCUCCAUGAAGCAGCCAGAGAUACCCUGUAAAACGAGAAGUCAGACCUGUCCAAAUCCUCCAGUGGGCCCCCAUCUCAGUAAAAGUCAGAGUCCUUGGGGGACCUGUGUGUCACCCCAACCCUUGCGUCUCUGGCUUGGUCUCCUCGUUCCCUCCUUCCCUCACUCAGUCACACUGGCUCCUUCAGUAUAUUUAGAAUGUUUUCACUGCUUCUUCCUUGUGCCUGGAAAGUUCUCCCUAAAAAUGUCUGCAUUGCUCACUCCCUCAGCCUCUUGAAGUCUUUGCUCAAAUGUCACUUCUCAGUGAGGCCUCCUUGUCUGCUCUGUUCUAUAUGGCAACAGCCCAGCUCCUGGCUCUGGCAUUCCCUAUCCUUCCUACAUUGAUCUGCCCUUAUUUUGUUUUGUUUUGUUUUGUUUUGUUUGAUUAGGGGCACACCUGCAGCAUAUGGAGGUUCCCAGGCUCGGGGUCAUAUUGGAGCUGCCGCUGCUGGCCUACACCACAGCCACAGUAACACAGGAUCUGAGCCAGGUCUGUGACCUACACCCCAGGUCUCAGCAACACCAGAUCCUUAACCCACUGAGCAAGGCCAGGGAUCAAACCCACAUCCUCAUGGGUACUAGUCAGGUUCGUUUCCGCUGCACCACGACAGGAACUCUCCCACUCUGCCCUUGUUUAAAUCGAUGCAUCUAAUCAUCUUUUAAUAUACUAUAUAAUUUAUCUAUUGUGUUUGUUUUUUGUCAUCCUCCCUCAUCAGAAGACAAGCCCCUCAAAGGCAAGGGUUUUGUCUGUUUCCUUCACUGUUUUGUCCCUAACACUUAGAAUAGUGCAUGGCACGUAAAUAGGUGCUCACUAAAUAUUUAUUGAAUGGAUUUAUUUGUGAAGUCAGAAUUCCUAACAAAUCCAUCUCUCUCCCAAAGCAGUGCUCUAAAUCCUGACGCACCAGAGAGCAGGGAUCCUGAAGUGACAAGCUCUCCAAGUGUUUCCUCCUCUGCCCUUUUCCUUCUCUCUCCCCAUCCGCCCCCUCAACACUCCCCCACCAUGUCCUCCACCCACGUCAUUGCUCAUUCGGAUAUGUAUGUGUCCCCCCACACACACACUCUCGCACUCCUCCACUCUCUAGCACCCCCACCUCUGAAUGGUCUCUGAGAGACUAUAAUCCUGUCAGGAGCGGGUAGAUGGUUCACCCCAUUCCACAGCCCCCUUCCAAGUAGUUCUAGUCUCCAUUUCUGGUAGGAGCCCUUCCACCGCCCCUUAGGGACCCCCCUUUACAUACUCCUGGGCCUCAGAACUCAGCUUCAGGUCAGCCAGCUAUUCCCACAUAGGGUCACCCCCAGCAAGAGGAAGAGACCAUGAAGAGAAGAGGCCAACAAUGGACAGAGGCUCUGCAACAUAGGAAAUGCUUUCAGGUGCAUCUCUUUACUUACAGUGAUGGGAGGCAGGAACCUCUUGCUUCUUUUGGUUAUUCACAGACAUGAAAGGGAACACAUCUUGGUCAAGACCAGAGAAAGACCAGGCUGGGCUUCGAAUGUCUUUUCUCCUGCAGACCUGAGCAGGGUUCCACUUUGUGACAGCAGAUCUGUGGGCUUCUGCCAUGCUGAGGAAACUGAUGGAGUGAAGGCAAUAAAACAUAGGGAGGGAUAAGCA
RNAcentral lists this long non-coding RNA (4200 nucleotides) under Sus scrofa (pig). Its description in RNAcentral is "lncRNA (ENSSSCG00060059938.1)". Lineage: Eukaryota; Metazoa; Chordata; Mammalia; Artiodactyla; Suidae. The record is from RNAcentral.